RNAcentral lists this long non-coding RNA (1196 nucleotides) under Ananas comosus (pineapple). Its description in RNAcentral is "long non-coding RNA (ACOM_LNC010890)". The record is from RNAcentral. Lineage: Eukaryota; Viridiplantae; Streptophyta; Magnoliopsida; Poales; Bromeliaceae.
UUUUUUUUUUUUUUUGAGAGAUAAAUAGCACGCUAUCCGUUUCGUUUAUUUUAUUUAGAAAUAAAUUUAGCUGAAAAUGUGAAUCAACUAGGAUUCAAAUUUGAGUCUCGGGUACCAACUACCAAGCCCUUUACCACUUGCUCUAGGGACGAUCGGUAAAUCGACAUAAUAGUUGCAUGUCAAGAUUGUACCGCUAUAUAGAGUGAGGCUACUAUGCUAUUGGAAGCACGGAGCCUUCCGUGUUUUCAGCUCGUUUUCGAUGUUGCGACUUUCGAAUCGUCGAUCGGCUCCGUUAAACUUGAUUUAGAGUAUUUGAAGUACUUAGAAAAUAAAUUUUAUGAUUUUACGAUAUCAUUUGCCUAGUGAACGAAGGGGCUCAAAAUCAACAGCUGAAAAUAAAAAUCUUAUAAAAUAUAAUAAUAUGAUAUUAAAAUUUUAAAUCAAAGAUAUUGAUCUUGUUUUAUAUAGUAUAAAGAAUUUUCUAUCAAAAUUUCACGUGAUUUGGAUAUUUCUACACCGUUAAACUUGCAAACGGCUCACUACGGCCAUUGAAAUUUGUUGAUUUUGAGCCCAUUCGAUCACUAGGCAAAUGAUAUCGAAAAAUAAUAAAAUUUAUUUUCUAGGUACUUCAAAUACUCUAGAUCAAGUUUAACGGAGCCGAUCGACGAUUCAAAAGUCGCAACAUCGAAAACGAGCUGGAAGCACAGAAGGCUCCGUGCUUCCGAUAGCAUAGUAGCCUCACUCUAUAUAUAUAUAUAUAUAUAUAGAGAGAGAGAGAGAGAGAGAGAGAGAGAGAGAGAGAGAGAGAGAGNAGCACUAAGCAUUUGGUAUUAUCGAUAAUAUAGUAGCCGGACUCUUUCUCUCCAUAUAGUCCGACUAUUAUACUAUCUAUAGUACUAAUUGUUUUGUCCUAUCGAGUUUUCUGCUGUUAGAUAUAUAUAUAUAUAUACAGUCCGGCUACUAUACUAUCGAUAGUACCAAGCCUUGGUAUUCUUGAGUUUUCUACCAUUAGAUCCACCCUUUGAUCAUUUCCACCCGUUAGAUAAUACUAUUAAACCAACCACCUACUCAACCAUAGGAGACCACUAUCAAUUUAAGCGGGGACCGCUAUCAUUCUAACCGCAUAUCUAUUCAUCCAACGGCCGAAAACUCAAUAGUACCAAAGGCUUGGUACUAUUGAUAGUACAGUAGCAUAU